Molecule: ribosomal RNA, 241 nt
Filed under: uncultured Staphylococcus sp.
Lineage: Bacteria; Bacillati; Bacillota; Bacilli; Caryophanales; Staphylococcaceae
Description: partial 16S ribosomal RNA
Rfam family: Bacterial small subunit ribosomal RNA
Source: RNAcentral
CGGACGGGUGAGUAACACGUGGAUAACCUACCUAUAAGACUGGGAUAACUUCGGGAAACCGGAGCUAAUACCGGAUAAUAUAUUGAACCGCAUGGUUCAAUAGUGAAAGGCGGCUUUGCUGUCACUUAUAGAUGGAUCCGCGCCGUAUUAGCUAGUUGGUAAGGUAACGGCUUACCAAGGCAACGAUGCGUAGCCGACCUGAGAGGGUGAUCGGCCACACUGGAACUGAGACACGGUCCAG